Long non-coding RNA from Cervus elaphus (red deer), 785 nucleotides. RefSeq lists it as uncharacterized. The record is from RefSeq and is a predicted model, not a curated record. Lineage: Eukaryota; Metazoa; Chordata; Mammalia; Artiodactyla; Cervidae. The transcript has 3 exons.
GCAUUCUGGGCAUCAGUCAGGAGUCAAAGGCUCCUUCCUCAAAGGCUGCAGACUAAGUUUGCCUUUGUGCUGCGGUGUGGCUUCCAUUUCAAAGUCUCCAUCGGCGAAUCGCGUAGCCAUGAGUGUGCAGCACAUGACCACCUGAGUAUGGCCACCUGAAUGCCGCUGCCUCCGUCGUCCCCUCUGCUGUGGCAGGACACUCAGCCCCCCUGAAGCUCUCCCACCAUCUCUGGGGUCUCCAGGGCCAUCGCCUGUGUGCUCUGCUCUGUCGGUGCAGCCAGUCUCCAUGGCGGUUACCAAAGGCUCUGUGUGCCGAACCUUGGCAGGACGCUUGGCAGGGGGGAUGGACAAUGGCCUUCCCGGCUGCAUCAGUCCCUGACGAGGUCCUGAAGCAAGGCCACUUGGACCUCCACACACCAGCCUUCCAGUCACUGCUUGCAGUCUUCUGCCCUCACCUUGAACCCAACCUUGCGUCCAGGAGCCCUGCUGAGUAGAAGUUCCGGAGGGCAGACGACCAAAAUGGAAGAGCCGGCAUGGGCGCAUUCCUGCGGGAGGCUUCAAAGAAUAUCUCUUCCUUCUUCCAACUUCUGGUGGUUCCUGAUGUUCCCGGACUCCAGUUUCUGCCUCCAUCUUUCCAUGUCUUCUCCUUCUUGCUGCCUGUCUCUCCUCUGUGUUUCUCUCUCUCUCUUUAAAGUCUAUCAUUUUAGUUUUUAAAAGUAUCUAUUGAUUUGGCUGUGUUGAGUCUUAGCUGCAGCAUGCAGGAUCUUGGUUGGGUCAUGUGGGAU